This is a non-coding RNA of Camellia sinensis, 429 nucleotides long. The record is from RefSeq and is a predicted model, not a curated record. Lineage: Eukaryota; Viridiplantae; Streptophyta; Magnoliopsida; Ericales; Theaceae.
UAAUAAGUGAUCAAAAUAAUUUUAAUUUAAUCUUAAACCUGGUGCUUUCAAAUAUUUCAGGAGGUCUGUUGCAGUGGUAUCUAUAUUUAUUUAGUAUCAAAAUAGAACCACUUGAAAUAAUCAUUAUUUUAUAGACCAAAGAGGGCUUUAUAUAGCUUUUAACUUUUUAUCUGCUAACUUGUGUUUAGGUCAAGAAUUCAAACAGAGCAUCGGUUAUCAGUUAUUGAGGGUGAGGCCAAGAGUGCCCAGCUGAUAGGUCAAGCUAUUGCCAAUAAUCCGGCAUUUAUUACCCCAAGGAAGAUUGAAGCUGCUAGAGAAAUUGCACAUACAAUCUCAAAUUCAGCCAACAAGGUUUUCUUGACUUCAGAUGAACUGUUGUUGAACCUUCAGGAGACAAACUUGGGGACCUCCACUGGGCAGAAGUAAACA